RNAcentral lists this ribosomal RNA (517 nucleotides) under uncultured bacterium. RNAcentral describes it as "partial 16S ribosomal RNA". The record is from RNAcentral.
GGAGUUAGCCGGUGCUUCUUCUGCGAGUAACGUCACAGAUGUAAGGUAUUAACUUACACCCUUUCCUCCUCGCUGAAAGUGCUUUACAACCCGAAGGCCUUCUUCACACACGCGGCAUGGCUGCAUCAGGGUUUCCCCCAUUGUGCAAUAUUCCCCACUGCUGCCUCCCGUAGGAGUCUGGGCCGUGUCUCAGUCCCAGUGUGGCUGAUCAUCCUCUCAGACCAGCUAGGGAUCGUCGCCUAGGUGAGCCUUUACCUCACCUACUAGCUAAUCCCACCUGGGCUUAUCCAUCAGCGCAAGGCCCGAAGGUCCCCUGCUUUCCCCCGUACGGGCGUAUGCGGUAUUAGCAGUCGUUUCCAACUGUUAUCCCCCACAAAUGGGCAAAUUCCCAGGCAUUACUCACCCGUCCGCCGCUCGUCAUCUUCAAAAGACAAGCUUUUGAAAUGUUACCGCUCGACUUGCAUGUGUUAGGCCUGCCGCCAGCGUUCAAUCUGAGCCAGAAAUACGAACCCUACGA